Molecule: ribosomal RNA, 255 nt
Filed under: uncultured Staphylococcus sp.
Lineage: Bacteria; Bacillati; Bacillota; Bacilli; Caryophanales; Staphylococcaceae
Description: partial 16S ribosomal RNA
Rfam family: Bacterial small subunit ribosomal RNA
Source: RNAcentral
UACGUAGGUGGCAAGCGUUAUCCGGAAUUAUUGGGCGUAAAGCGCGCGUAGGCGGUUUUUUAAGUCUGAUGUGAAAGCCCACGGCUCAACCGUGGAGGGUCAUUGGAAACUGGAAAACUUGAGUGCAGAAGAGGAAAGUGGAAUUCCAUGUGUAGCGGUGAAAUGCGCAGAGAUAUGGAGGAACACCAGUGGCGAAGGCGGCUUUCUGGUCUGUAACUGACGCUGAUGUGCGAAAGCGUGGGGAUCAAACAGGAU